UCAAUAAUGCGGAGGAAAAGAAACCAACAGGGAUUGCCCUAGUAACGGCGAGUGAAGCGGCAACAGCUCAAAUUUGAAAUCUGGCCUCCGGCCCGAGUUGUAAUUUGUAGAGGAUGCUUUUGGUGAGGUGCCUUCCGAGUUCCCUGGAACGGGACGCCAUAGAGGGUGAGAGCCCCGUCUGGUUGGACACCGAGCCUCUGUAAAGCUCCUUCGACGAGUCGAGUAGUUUGGGAAUGCUGCUCUAAAUGGGAGGUAUAUGUCUUCUAAAGCUAAAUACCGGCCAGAGACCGAUAGCGCACAAGUAGAGUGAUCGAAAGAUGAAAAGCACUUUGAAAAGAGGGUUAAACAGUACGUGAAAUUGUUGAAAGGGAAGCGCUUGUGACCAGACUUGGGCUUGGUUAAUCAUCCAGUGUUCUUCACUGGUGCACUUGGCCGGCCCAGGCCAGCAUCAGUUCGGUGCGGGGGAUAAAGGCUUCGGGAAUGUGGCUCCCCCGGGAGUGUUAUAGCCCGUUGCGCAAUACCCUGCGCUGGACUGAGGUUCGCGCAUCUGCAAGGAUGCUGGCGUAAUGGUCAUCAGCGACCCGUCUUGAAACACGGACCAAGGAGUCGUCUUCGUAUGCGAGUGUUCGGGUGUUAAACCCCUACGCGUAAUGAAAGUGAACGCAGGUGAGAGCUUCGGCGCAUCAUCGACCGAUCCUGAUGUUCUCGGAUGGAUUUGAGUAAGAGCAUACGGGGCCGGACCCGAAAGAAGGUGAACUAUGCCUGUAUAGGGUGAAGCCAGAGGAAACUCUGGUGGAGGCUCGCAGCGGUUCUGACGUGCAAAUCGAUCGUCAAAUAUGGGCAUGGGGGCGAAAGACUAAUCGAACCUUCUAGUA
This 875-nucleotide ribosomal RNA is filed under the name Paracremonium ellipsoideum. RNAcentral's name for it is "partial large subunit ribosomal RNA". It matches the Rfam family "Eukaryotic large subunit ribosomal RNA", at positions 43 to 949 of the family's 3401-position model. The record is from RNAcentral. Lineage: Eukaryota; Fungi; Ascomycota; Sordariomycetes; Hypocreales; Nectriaceae.